GCCAAACUAGCUCAGUGGUAGAGCAGGGCUUUUGUAAAGCUCAGGUCGCAGGUUCAAAUCCUGUGUUUGGCU
This 72-nucleotide transfer RNA is filed under the name Synechococcus phage ACG-2014e. It matches the Rfam family "tRNA". From Rfam's summary of the family: Transfer RNA (tRNA) molecules are approximately 80 nucleotides in length. Their secondary structure includes four short double-helical elements and three loops (D, anti-codon, and T loops). Lineage: Duplodnaviria; Heunggongvirae; Uroviricota; Caudoviricetes; Pantevenvirales; Kyanoviridae. RNAcentral also lists the same sequence under 1 other name. The record is from Rfam by way of RNAcentral.